GUUCAGUUUCCUCCUAUCCGUUUACUUAUAUAUUUAU
This 37-nucleotide small RNA is filed under the name Arabidopsis thaliana (thale cress). RNAcentral describes it as "ATSL131760". The record is from RNAcentral. Lineage: Eukaryota; Viridiplantae; Streptophyta; Magnoliopsida; Brassicales; Brassicaceae.